This 254-nucleotide ribosomal RNA is filed under the name uncultured bacterium. Its description in RNAcentral is "partial 16S ribosomal RNA". It matches the Rfam family "Bacterial small subunit ribosomal RNA", at positions 524 to 776 of the family's 1533-position model. The record is from RNAcentral.
UACGUAGGGUGCGAGCGUUGUCCGGAAUUAUUGGGCGUAAAGGGCUCGUAGGCGGUUUGUCGCGUCGGGAGUGAAAACUCAGGGCUUAACCCUGAGCCUGCUUCCGAUACGGGCAGACUAGAGGUAUGCAGGGGAGAACGGAAUUCCUGGUGUAGCGGUGAAAUGCGCAGAUAUCAGGAGGAACACCGGUGGCGAAGGCGGUUCUCUGGGCAUUACCUGACGCUGAGGAGCGAAAGUGUCGGGGAGCGAACAGG